Long non-coding RNA from Dama dama (fallow deer), 1033 nucleotides. RefSeq lists it as uncharacterized. Lineage: Eukaryota; Metazoa; Chordata; Mammalia; Artiodactyla; Cervidae. The record is from RefSeq and is a predicted model, not a curated record. The transcript has 4 exons.
UGCCUCACCGUCCCAAGAGCCGGGCGGCCAGCACUUCCUGUCUAAGCCAGGGGAUCCCUGCCCCAGUCGGGGGUCCCCCCGCCCCUAGAGCGGGGCUGGGCUGAGUCUGGGACAUCUGGGAGCGGGGUAGCGCAAAGUCGGGGUGCUCGGACCGAGCCCCGGGCUCUUCGCUCCCCCAGCACCAACGCCUAGGAAGUCAGCACCCUCCCGACACGCCGCGGACCCCCAGUGGAGCCACCCGAGCCGCACCCCGGGCGCCGCCCCGCGCCUCCCCAGGCCUCUGGCUCUUUAUUGUAGCUGAGGAAGCCCUUUCGUAUGAUCUGAUCCUACAAGAGGCUCUGAGGGAGGCAGGCCAGGGAGUGAUACUCCCAUAGUACAGAAGAGAAACUGAGGCCAGAAGAAGACAGGGAUUGCCCAGGAGCAUGGAGGGGGUCAUCAGCAGAGGACCAUUGUAAGAUUGACAAGCCCACAAUCCCAGAGUACCCAUUCCGGAUCAGUCUGCAUCACUGGGCCAAGCAGAGGGAUCCCACUGGGCUUGUCCUCGUGGUGCUCUCUGCCCCGUUCAGCACUAGGAGACAUUGGUUCAAUCCCUGAUCUGGGAAGAUUCCCACAUGCUGCGAAGCAACCAGGCCCGUGAGCCACAACUACUGAGCCUGUUGUCUAGAGCUUGGGAGCCACAACUACUGAAGCCCAUGUGCCCCAAAGCCUGUGCUGUACAACAGAAGUCAUGGCAAUGAGAAGCUCAUGCAUUGCGACUAGAGAGUAGCCCCCACUCGCCACAACUAGAGAAAAAAACCGAGCAGCAAUGAAGACCCAGCACAGCCAAAAAUAAAGAUUGAAGGCAGGAGGAGAAGAGAACAACAGAGGACAAGAUGGUUGGAUGGCAUCACCAACUCAAUGGACAUGAGUUUGAGCAAGCUCCAGGAGAUGGUGAAGGACAGGGAAGCCUGGCGUGCUACAGUCCAUGGGGUCGCAAAGGGUCGGACAUGACUGAGUGAACAACAAAAACAUUAAAAGUAACAUGUCACUUUAU